Molecule: long non-coding RNA, 1366 nt
Organism: Hipposideros armiger (great roundleaf bat)
Lineage: Eukaryota; Metazoa; Chordata; Mammalia; Chiroptera; Hipposideridae
Exons: 3
Source: RefSeq, a predicted model, not a curated record
GACAGCCAGCAUAAAAUUAAAAGAGUCCAACUUCAAGCAUCAUCAAACGUGGUUUUCACCAGUUUUUAAAGAGAUGUGUGUUGUCUGUAGGUUUGAUUAUUACUCCAUUUUCAAUUCCAAUAGUCUACACUUCACUAAGCUUCUAAAUUCAAACCGCCAAGGUUAACAGUUACAGGAAACGAUCCCAGUAUCAGCAAACCCUUUCCCAUAUCCCCAUUAGAAACAAACCAACAAACAAAAAAGGCGGGGGGACAAGGGGAUAGUCACAACCUACCCCAGGCAAAAGCAUGAAAAUACAGUGACUAAAUUCCACCAGCAGCAAUUAAAAAUCGCAACUUUCUACAAAGCUUCCCCUACACCAAACGGAAUCCCUUUACUUCCACUCCCACGAAUCAAGUAAUCCGGGAUAACAGUCGGAUACUGAAAUAUGGUAUUUAAAAUAAAAGAAGGCGAAGGCAUUUCACUGAAGCCCCAGAGGCCAAGGAAAGUAACCCAAAUGGGGGUUCGUAAAGGUGGAAGAGAAACUCAGGCAGGGAAGGGACAGCAGAAGAGGCCAGGGGAGCAAAGGAAGUGGUAAUCACUUCAAGGGAGGCAGUCCUCCGUCAGGGCUGCGGAGAAACAGGGAUCCGGGUCCACGCCACCGGGCGUUUACGGAAACCCGAAGGCGGCUGAUGGGAAACAAUGGGGCGGCGAGAUCGGGAGCCAGCCGGGAGGCGCUCAGGAGAAGGCGGCUAGGCAGCCAGGGACGGGUGUGAUGGCAGAGCAGAAGGCUGCAGCGGAUGGAGGCGGCAGGGAGGAGAGAGGCUCGUUGGGGAGGCAAGCUGGUCGGGUGUGAUGGGGUGCCGCGGCGCACCGGUCAGGGAAGCGAGGGUCCCCUAGGACCCCGAGGGGAGUGGCUUGUCAGGGACCUUCAGACGGGGGAACGGGAGCCGGGAAGGCAGGUGUGAGGGAAGCCAACGGAACACGGCUCGCACGAGCUCCCAGGACCCGCCGAGCCAGACAAGCCGCAGGGAGGGCACAGGCAGCUCACGGGGGGGCGUCAAACAAGACAGGAAACACAUAGUUUCACUGGAAUUUGAAAAAGGAAGUGUUAGGAUGAUGUCAACCACAGAGGAGCUUGAACCCUAUAAGGCUGGCUGGUGUGGGGAUUAAAGGUCCACACCAUAGAAGGAAGUGAGAAGAGUGUGGAUAAAGACUUCAGAGAAUUUACAGGAGGUCAAAACCAUACAACGGAAGAGCCCUGGGGCCCCAAAUUAAUCCUUGGAGGAAUGCUGCCCAGGAGAACUGCAUGACCAGGGAAACCUGUGUUGACUUUGACUUGUUUUAUUAAAUUAUGCCUCUGAAAUUAGCUGGCCUGCCUAAUACA